UUUAAUGUUCAUGGGAAACACCUUGUUAAAAUGUAGGUUCUGACACAGUAGGUUUGGGGGGCGGGGGCUGAGAUUCUGCAUUUCUAAGAAGCUCCCAGGUGACGUUCAU
Molecule: microRNA precursor, 109 nt
Filed under: Marmota monax (woodchuck)
Lineage: Eukaryota; Metazoa; Chordata; Mammalia; Rodentia; Sciuridae
Source: RNAcentral